GAUGAAGAACGCAGCGAAAUGCGAUAAGUAAUGUGAAUUGCAGAGUUUUGUGAAUCAUCGAAUCUUUGAACGCACAUUGCGCCCCUCGGUAUUCCGACGGGCAUGCCUGUCCGAGCGUCGUUUGCAACCCAUCGAGUAACACUUCUCGGUCUUGGGCGCCGUCCGCCCCCUCGGGGGAUCGGACGGGCCCCAAAGCCCUCGGCGGCCCCGGGUGCCCCGCCGGAGCGUCUUCGAAAGCAAUCGCUCCGGCGCGUCGCGCCCCGGGACCAAGCCGGCACCGCGGCCCCCCCAAAGGGGUCGCACCCCCAACACCAAACGUCUGACCUCGGAUCAGGUAGGGCUACCCGCUGAACUUAAGCAUAUCAAUAAGCGGAGGA
Molecule: unclassified non-coding RNA, 377 nt
Filed under: soil metagenome
Description: partial contains 5.8S ribosomal RNA, internal transcribed spacer 2, and large subunit ribosomal RNA
Rfam family: 5.8S ribosomal RNA (bases 1-120)
Source: RNAcentral